RNAcentral lists this transfer RNA (88 nucleotides) under Escherichia coli. RNAcentral describes it as "tRNA-Leu". It matches the Rfam family "tRNA". Rfam says of the family: Transfer RNA (tRNA) molecules are approximately 80 nucleotides in length. Their secondary structure includes four short double-helical elements and three loops (D, anti-codon, and T loops). Lineage: Bacteria; Pseudomonadati; Pseudomonadota; Gammaproteobacteria; Enterobacterales; Enterobacteriaceae. The record is from RNAcentral.
GCCCGGAUGGUGGAAUCGGUAGACACAAGGGAUUUAAAAUCCCCUCGGCGUUCGCGCUGUGCGGGUUCAAGUCCCGCUCCGGGUACCA